This 315-nucleotide ribosomal RNA is filed under the name uncultured eukaryote. RNAcentral describes it as "partial 18S ribosomal RNA". It matches the Rfam family "Eukaryotic small subunit ribosomal RNA", at positions 1470 to 1796 of the family's 1831-position model. The record is from RNAcentral.
CCCUUAGACGUUCUGGGCCGCACGCGCGCUACACUGACCAGUGCAACAAGCAUCCGUCCUUGGCCGACAGGCCCGGGCAAUCUUUGAACGCUGGUCGUGAUGGGGAUAGACUUUUGCAAUUUUUGGUCUUCAACGAGGAAUUCCUAGUAAACGCAAGUCAUCAACUUGCAUUGAUUACGUCCCUGCCCUUUGUACACACCGCCCGUCGCACCUACCGAUUGAAUGGUCCGGUGAAGCCUCCGGAUUGGCGCGCACCUCGGUGCCGCCGAGAAGUUGGCUAAACCUUACCAUUUAGGGGAAGGUGAAGUCGUAACA